This 626-nucleotide ribosomal RNA is filed under the name uncultured organism. RNAcentral's name for it is "bacterial SSU rRNA". It matches the Rfam family "Eukaryotic small subunit ribosomal RNA", at positions 470 to 1079 of the family's 1831-position model. The record is from RNAcentral.
AACAAAAAUAACAAUACCGGACAUAUUUUGUCUGGUGAUUGGAAUGAGAAAAAUGUAAAAACCUUAACGAGGAACAAUUGGAGGACAAGUCUGGUGCCAGCACCCGCGGUAAUUCCAGCUCCAAGAGUGUAUAUUAAAGUUGCUGCAGUUAAAACGCUCGUAGUCGGAUUUUGGAACUUGCAUGGGGUCGGUCCGCCGCGAUGGCGUGUACUGAACCAUCAGUUCCUUAUUUUUGGAAGUUCGCCACAUUCCUAACCGUUUGUGGUCAUGGGUUUCGGCCCAAGAGCUCCAAAUCAUUUACUGUGAGUAAACUAGAGUGUUCAAAGCAGGCAUAUAUGUGCCCUGAAUACAUUAGCAUGGGAUAAUAGAAUAGGACUUUUGUUUUAUUUUGUUGGUUUUAUGGAGACGAAAGUAAUGAUUAAUGGGAACAAUUGGGGGCAUUCAUAUUCAAUUGCCAGAGGUAAAAUUCUAAGAUCAAUUGAAGAUGCGCGGAAGCGAAAGCUUAUGCCAAGGAUGUGUCCAUCGAUCAAGAACGAAAGUUGGGGGAUCGAAGACGAUCAGAUACCGUCGUAGUCUCAACCAUAAACGAUGACGACCCGGUAUUCGAAAACGUUGUUUUGACCUUU